GUUUUUCUGAAAUGACCAUCAUUGAAGCACACACUUCUCCUCUUUCUUGGCCAUCUUUCCUUUGUUCUGCUCCAGCGUCCUCUCCAGGUGCUCGUCCUCCUCCUCGGCCCUGCGGAGGGCAAAGGUCAAAAGGUCCCUGACCAGCGCGUCGCGUUUGUUGACCAGUAUGACCAACUCAUCCAGCAGCAGCUGCUCUCGUCUCUUCUGGGCCUCCGUCUUCUGCCAGUCUGCAACGACACCAGAGGAACACACUCCUUCAGGGCAGGAGACACUGAGGACAAUCUAUUUUUAUUCUAAAAACCUCGAGACACUUGGUCCCAUGGAUGAAAAGUUUUAUUUCUUUUGUCCUGCCAGGAACUUGUGGCUGCAGGAUACGACACACUGAUGAACUACCUCACAGUCACGUCAAGAUGAAUGUAAAACAACAUUUCUACAAAGAGUUAACUCGGAUCCUCCUGGAAAAGAAACUUCCAAUGAAAUGUUUUUUAAAAACUGCUUUUCAAACACUUUGGACACGGCUUCACUUGUUUUCAGCUCUUUAUCAGGUAACUGCGUCACAUUAAAGGACGAUCAGGUCCUCUGAGGACCACAGAGCUUCAACAUGGCGGACAGGUUGUCUCAGUUUGGUAAAAGUUCUAUUAACCUGCUGGACUGUGAAGCGAUGGACACCAGACCAGUUCCAUGUAUGGACGAGUGUGUAGAUAUGUGUAAACACACUUGAAGGAUACUGUCAUGUUAAUCUGCAGCCUUAUGAUGCACACAGAGAUCUGUGAAGAAUCCCACUCCCACAGGAACAUGCUGCUCAUAUAAAGUCCUCAAUCAUAACUUCAAAAACACAGAUGAUUGUGUUGUAUGUUUAAAAAGAAUUUCUGGGACUCAUAACUUGAAGGUAAUUCCUGUAGCACUGGAAAUCAUUUCUUAGGAAAGGGAGUAAAUCUCAUUUUGAAAAGUAGAACUCCGUAUGUAAGUUUUGUCUUGAUGGUUGAUAUGAUUUCCUAAAAAAAGCACACAAUUUCAUCACCUGUUAAAAGUGACAGCCCUGUUCUACGUAGCAUUUCUAUUAUUUUGUAUUUUCACCAAAAAAGUGUGAAACUAUUAAAGUUCUGGGUGUAUUUUUGAGGGUAAAGUGUGAAAUUAUGAAGAGUGAAGUGUUUCCACUUAGUUUAAGAUUAAAAAACGUCCUGGUUGAGUCUUCAUGGUCCAAUAAAUACAAACAUGAAAAAGUCACCUCAGCUAAAUAAACAAACAAAACAGGUGAGCCCCUGACUCUCGUCUCUCAGUUCUCCAGGGUCUUUGCAGGAAGGGGCCCCACAGGGCCCCACAGGGUCCAGGUGGGACCCUGAUCCAAAUCCCCUCAGCCUCUCCCUGGAGGGGAGGGGGAAUGCCCACAGGAGAGCUCUCACUCCCCCUGGGGCUCAAAUAUCCGCCUGGCGCCCUUGGCUCCACAUUCACCCAACACCGGGGCAGCACUCCUCCCUCCCUCACCCUCAAAACUCACCCCCAAACCCUGAACAGUGCUUAAAGAAUGAUUUUAUUACAACUAUUUGUCUUUUUAACCUCCUUUUUGUACAUUUUAAACAAUCCAGCAUCUACUUAUCAUGUAAACACAGGACAACUUGUGCUGUACAUAAAUUAGAUUUAACUUUAUCGUUACUGCACAGAGUUUAGCAUCAUGUUCAAUCCAUCUGCACUGAAACAUGUUCAGACACAGAAACAUCUCUGCAGAUUUUCCACGCUGUCCAACAGCUAAAGGCAGGCAGGAAAUCUGCAGCUACUCCUCAGCUCAGUGUGGGAACGUGUCCCCCUCAAAAACCCUCCAUCAUUUCAUAUUAAAAAAAAAAAGAAAUCCGCUCCAUCUCAGACAGAAUUCAAACACAGCUGAGACGUGUGCAACUUCUGUGCGCGUAGGCAACUUCACCCCUCUAUCAAUAUUUAACCGCCUAUUGAUUCGAGAAUAAAAGGAAUGUUGUAAAAUGUCAAUCCCAAAAUAAGUGUGGCUUUAUUAAAAAUAAAUAUUCCCCCCCCA
Siniperca chuatsi (mandarin fish) is the source of this 2026-nucleotide long non-coding RNA. RefSeq lists it as uncharacterized. Lineage: Eukaryota; Metazoa; Chordata; Actinopteri; Centrarchiformes; Sinipercidae. The transcript has 2 exons. The record is from RefSeq and is a predicted model, not a curated record.